This is a long non-coding RNA of Corapipo altera (White-ruffed manakin), 2800 nucleotides long. RefSeq lists it as uncharacterized. The record is from RefSeq and is a predicted model, not a curated record. Lineage: Eukaryota; Metazoa; Chordata; Aves; Passeriformes; Pipridae. The transcript is spliced from 6 exons.
AGAACAGCAGGUGACUUGUUAGCAGACCCAAGAUGCUUCUGGAAGCAAAGCAGUGGUUCUGUAUGAUUCAUCAUACCUUUUGGAUCACCAUGCUUGUCCAUCAAGCUUCUGUGCUGGAUUGCACCGUGAGGGUGUUGCAUGCACCCACCUUUCUGCCACGAGCCUCCUACCUUAUGUUCAGCCCAGAGAGCCUGACCAUGGAUAACGGGAUCAACAACCUCUGAGGAGCCUGAGCCAGUGGACACAGGGAGCCUUCAAGCCUCCAUCACCUUCCAGCUUGUGCUGUAGGACACUCACCUGGCUCGAGUCCUCCGCUUCCCCAGUUCAGCUUCCUCUAACAAGAGUAUCUGUCUGGAGCAGAGCCCAGGCCUGUGAGCUGCACCCAUUUCUCGGAGCGAUGCAGAGUCACUCGAUGCAAGUUUGCACUCAAAGAUCUGCUGUGAAGAAUUAAGUAGGAUUUUUUUUUCCCACAGACAUUCCAUGUCAUCCCUGGGAAUUCUCCCUGAUCUCUGUGGGUACUUCUGCACCAGACAGAUCCAGAGGGCCCCUGAAUCCAGAGAUCACAGGUGCAACCAGUGUUAAGAAGGGGGACAGUGCAUCUUCCCUGGCCUUGUGGGAUCCCCAUGAGCUCAUCCCAGCACCGAGCAUGGAUGGGAGCAACUCAGGGAGCACAGCAUCACCUUCCCUUCACGACCCUCUGCAUGAGGCUGCUGGAUCUGUGGCUGCAGACGUUGAAGGACUGCAAUGUCUCUGUGUAAAAAUGGAACAGGUUACCUGAGCAAUGGUUGAGAAGAGGACUGCAACCAGGGCAUCUCAAUGGCAUUUGAAGGUAACAAAAUGUCUAUGGGGUGAGUAAAUCUGUGUAUUAGUACCAGCACCAAGUCCCUUGAUGCAUUCUCAGUAAGUUAGAAGUUGCAGCAUGUAGAAAGCUGUGACAAAGAAGGUGUGACAGUUAAAAAGGAAAUAUCAAAAAUAAAGUAAAAUAAAUCUUUGAACGAGCUGAACUCUAAAUAAUUAAAACUCGCAAAAAGUGUAAGAAGUGAAGCAGAAAUAAUUGUUGGUGCUAAUGUUUAAAAGCUAUGAAAUGCCUGCAUGUGUCCAGGCAUCAUUUUCUUUUCUAAGAUGUCAGAUUUUACAUGACAGAAAGUUAUCACCCCCAGACUGGUAUUUUUGGAACUGCUCAGUGUCUAAUCAGUUAGUGAGAGUAGUUAACAAUUGCAAGCCUCAUGCCUGGAAAUAAAAUCAACGUGAGUGUUCCUGCUGUUGGCUGAGUUGGGCUGGGGGUGGGCAGGUUGGUGGUGGACAGUGAUGGGACCUUCAGUGCCCAACAGAUGCCCACUUUACCCACUCCAAUAUGCUUUUAAUCAUAACUUGCUUUCUAUCCCUACUAGCGAGGAUUUGGGUGGGUCAGCGGGAGCACAGAAACCCAAACAGUAAGUGGUACCCUGGAUCUUAACCUAGAGGCAUAACAGCCAUUUCACUCUAUAAAUCUAUAAAUAUUGCUACAAGCCUUUUGUUGUAACGUUGCUGGAAGAGCUUUUAUUUUCAUAUUGCAAAAAUAGGAAGAAAGCGUUGAGUUAAGACGAUGCUGUAGCCAGCAGGAACAAGGGAGAGUAGCGGCGCUCUGUGACAGCAGAAAUAAAAGCACAAGCAGGGAACCACACUGCAAACCAUACCCACCAGGAACUACUAAAAACCAGGAGCUGCCCCAUGCAGGCUGGAGAGCUGCCACCCGUGGAGAGAGAGAACCCUGGAGCUGCACAGGGCACAGCUGUGGAGGGCAAGCUGGGGAGUCACGCUGUGCUUGUGAGGGAAGGAGAGCUGGGGGAGCAGGGGAUGAAGUUUCUAAGCAUUGCAAUUUUGCUGUGAUUUGUUCAGGAUGGGCUGCUCACCCAUGAAGCAGGAGAUAGCUGCUUUUUUUUCUGCUUUUUAUUUCUUUUCUUACUUUUUUGUUUUUCUUCUCUAUUGCUGCAGAGCUUUUGUCAGGUCAGUGAGUUGAAACAUCCUCCAGCAGGGUCAGACAGGAGGUACAGACAGCCCAAAAAGGGCUUCUCAGAGAGGGACAUGGGAGAGGCAUAAAGAGGGAACAGGGAAUGAGAGAAGCUGCGAGUCUGGUGUGUCCCAGCUUGUGCCCCUUCCUCCUGAGCCUGGUGCUGCAGAGGCUGUGUGGGUCAUCUUGGAGCUGAGGCCUCCAGGUCCUGCUGUGGGUGUCGAUGGCCUCAAAGCUGUCAAAGUUGUGAGCACGGCAGGUCCACUUGGCAUCCACAGCUCCCAUCCCAAAUAGGUGUGCUUGAACACUUCCCAACCACUGUUAAGAGAGGGCCAGUGGAGACAGGGUGUGCAGUAUCUACCAUGAGUGAAGUGACUGCUCUGGUAGCUGUGUGUUCCUCUGCUAGUUAAUCCCCACUGUCCUCACUGUUGAUUUAAAUACCUUUAUGUGGCAUUUGCAGACUAAUGGAGCACGGGGACCCAGAAGGAGCCUCUGAAAGGUUGUCUGAUAUGAUCCACAUAAAUCAGAGCCCAUUCAUUCUUGCACAUGAUCCCCUGCCUGUGUAGACGUGGCUUCUGCAGCAAAAAAUAGAGAUAAGUAGCAAAAGCUGCUUAAGGAGAAGUCUCAUUGUACGUGUUAUGACAGUAGGGAGAGGGAUUAAUCCUGGCAGUGUUUCCCUUGUAUUUGUUAAGGCGGAUGAUACACAGUGACAAUGGCAGCUGCUCCUUUCCAGAGCUCUGCUGAGAAAACCUUACCUGUAUCCUUCAGAGGUGCAUAAUGCAUCAUUCCUAGCUCACAGGGGUGAUCAAG